Molecule: ribosomal RNA, 497 nt
Filed under: uncultured bacterium
Lineage: Bacteria
Description: partial 16S ribosomal RNA
Rfam family: Bacterial small subunit ribosomal RNA
Source: RNAcentral
GAUGAACGCUGGCGGCGUGCCUAAUACAUGCAAGUCGAGCGAACGGACGAGAAGCUUGCGUCGCUGAUGUUAGCGGCGGACGGGAGAGUAACACGUGUAUAACCUACCUAUAAUACGGGGAUAACUUCGGGAAACCGGAUCUAAUACCGUAUGAUAUUUUGAAGCGCAGUGUGCAAAGGUGAAAUACGGUGGUGCGGGCACGUAUAGAGGGAUCCCCGCUGCAUUAGCUAGUUGUUAAGGUAACGGCUUACCAAGGCAACGAUGCAUAGACGAAGUGAGAGGGUGAUAGGCCACCCUGGAACGGAGCCACGGUCCAGACUACUACGGGACGCACCAGUAGGGAACCGUAGGCAAAGGGCGAAAGUAUGACGGAGCAAGGCGGCGUCAGUGAUGACGGUCUUCGGAUCGUAAAACCCUGUUAUUAGGGAAGAACAUCUGUGUCAGUAAAUGUGACCAUAUUGACGGUACCUAAUAAGAAAGCACCGGCUAACUACGUG